Molecule: ribosomal RNA, 545 nt
Filed under: uncultured Microbacteriaceae bacterium
Lineage: Bacteria; Bacillati; Actinomycetota; Actinomycetes; Micrococcales; Microbacteriaceae
Description: bacterial SSU rRNA
Rfam family: Bacterial small subunit ribosomal RNA
Source: RNAcentral
AGGAUGGGCUUGCGGCCUAUCAGGUAGUUGGUGGGGUAAUGGCCUACCAAGCCGACGACGGGUAGCUGGUCUGAGAGGGUGACCGGCCACACUGGGACUGAGACACGGCCCAGACUCCUACGGGAGGCAGCAGUGGGGAAUAUUGCACAAUGGGCGCAAGCCUGAUGCAGCAACGCCGCGUGAGGGAUGAAGGCCUUCGGGUUGUAAACCCCUUUUAGUUGGGAAGAAGCGAAAGUGACGGUACCAACAGAAAAAGCACCGGCUAACUACGUGCCAGCAGCCGCGGUAAUACGUAGGGUGCAAGCGUUGUCCGGAAUUAUUGGGCGUAAAGAGCUCGUAGGCGGUUUGUCGCGUCUGCUGUGAAAAUCCAAGGCUCAACCUUGGACCUGCAGUGGGUACGGGCAAACUAGAGUGCGGUAGGGGAGAAGGGAAUUCCUGGUGUAGCGGUGGAAUGCGCAGAUAUCAGGAGGAACACCGAUGGCGAAGGCACUUCUCUGGGCCGUAACUGACGCUGAGGAGCGAAAGCGUGGGGAGCGAACAGGAUU